UUUACUGUAAUAACCAACUUUAAUAAACGUUUAAAGACUUUGCUUUAAGAAUCAAUAAAGAAGUUAACUGAAUGCAUGUACUAAUUUCUAUAUAUACAUAUUCGUAUUUCGUUUAAACUAAAAUACUUCUGUUUCGUUUGAGAAGAGGCCUUGACAUAGUCAGUAACUUUAACGGACUGUCUUCUGAUUGGUUAACUAAAGCAUAUAAAUGUUUCCUAAAAGCUGUAUUACACAUACUAACACAUUGCUGUCAUAUUAUUACGAAGCAAAUAAACUUUACAUAACGUAUAAAGAAUGUCA
This 300-nucleotide unclassified non-coding RNA is filed under the name Melitaea cinxia (Glanville fritillary). RNAcentral describes it as "misc RNA ENSMCXG00005021672.1". The record is from RNAcentral. Lineage: Eukaryota; Metazoa; Arthropoda; Insecta; Lepidoptera; Nymphalidae.